Molecule: long non-coding RNA, 417 nt
Filed under: Mytilus galloprovincialis (Mediterranean mussel)
Lineage: Eukaryota; Metazoa; Mollusca; Bivalvia; Mytilida; Mytilidae
Source: RNAcentral
CACAACAUAACAAAAAACUGUAAAAAUCAGUUGUAAAAAUCGUGUCUUUACUCAUCACAUCAGCAUGAAGAACGACACAAAAUCUAAACAAAUAGGCAAAAAACACAAAUUACCGAUCUUAUAUAAGUACAUACUGGAUGUAGGAUUAAAUGUGUCAGUAACUGUAAUGUUUGGUUUGGAUUGGCCUGUCUUUCUCUUUAUCGCACCUCUGAUAAAUUAUGACAUUAUGAUUCGUUUAACUUUGUCACGGGGUGACCCCCUCAAUAGCUAGGGGGGUCAGUAGAUUUUAUAUGGGGUUUAUGACUCAUGUUUACUUUCAAUUGUCAUCUACAGUAUUGAUGUUGUAUUUCAUAGUAAUUUUUUACAAAACGCAGUUCAAAAGAAACCUUUGAUGUGUCUUUGUAACCAAAUAAGCAA